RNAcentral lists this ribosomal RNA (301 nucleotides) under uncultured bacterium. Its description in RNAcentral is "partial 16S ribosomal RNA". It matches the Rfam family "Bacterial small subunit ribosomal RNA", at positions 509 to 807 of the family's 1533-position model. The record is from RNAcentral.
CAGUAGCCGCGGGAAUACGGAGGGGGCUAGCGUUGUUCGGAAUUACUGGGCGUAAAGCGCACGUAGGCGGCUUGGUAAGUUAGAGGUGAAAGCCUGGAGCUCAACUCCAGAAUUGCCUUUAAGACUGCCGAGCUAGCAGGUGAGAGAGGUAAGUGGAAUUCCGAGUGUAGAGGUGAAAUUCGUAGAUAUUCGGAAGAACACCAGUGGCGAAGGCGGCUUACUGGCUCAUACUGGACGCUGAGGUGCGAAAGCGUGGGGAGCAAACAGGAAUAGAUACCCCUGUAGUCCCUGUCUCUUAUAC